GGCCUACGGGGCGCAGCAGUGGGGAAUAUUGCACAAUGGGGGAAACCCUGAUGCAGCGACGCCGCGUGAAGGAAGAAGUAUUUCGGUAUGUAAACUUCUAUCCGCAGGGAAGAAAAUGACGGUACCUGACUAAGAAGCCCCGGCUAACUACGUGCCAGCAGCCGCGGUAAUACGUAGGGGGCAAGCGUUAUCCGGAUUUACUGGGUGUAAAGGGAGCGUAGACGGCAGUGCAAGUCUGAAGUGAAAGGCAAGGGCUCAACCCUUGGACUGCUUUGGAAACUGUGCUGCUGGAGUGUCGGAGAGGC
Molecule: ribosomal RNA, 305 nt
Filed under: uncultured bacterium
Lineage: Bacteria
Description: bacterial SSU rRNA
Rfam family: Bacterial small subunit ribosomal RNA
Source: RNAcentral